This is a long non-coding RNA of Bos taurus (domestic cattle), 861 nucleotides long. Lineage: Eukaryota; Metazoa; Chordata; Mammalia; Artiodactyla; Bovidae. The record is from Ensembl.
ACCCACUUUAGGUAAGUUUUUGGUGCCAGUGUGAGGCUGUGCUCUCGCGAUACCUGGCUCCUGGGGUUUUCCCCAAAGCAGAGCCGCCACCGUGAUGACUUGCCGGGAAGCCUUCAAGGAGUCACUACUCCCAGACAGGUGGUUUGGGACAAUGUUCCCAGCAGCUGCUGAGACCACUUUUGGGGGGAGAGUCUCCCUGUCUCUCCCCUGCGCAGCACUGGCGGCAGUGUAUGCUUCUCCUUGGUGGAAUGGAAUCAUGCCUCUGGACAAGCUGACAAGCCCCGUGACCCAGUGUUGUUACCAAGAGAAUCCCCGCAGACAACCUCCUGCUUUCAAAUCACCACCUCAGAGUCAGUCCCAGACAAUGACAUUUGAAAGGAUUAAAUAAAAAGAAGAAAAGACAGUGUUGUUCUAACCCAGGUAUUUAAUCAGGAAAUCAGGGUCACUCUAGGUCUUUCCAGUGGAGAGGAUUGAAUACCAGGAGUUGACAACACAGAUGAUGAAGACUGGAGAUGGUGAAGCAACCCAUAGAUGAGUUACCAUCACCUGAUGAAGGCUGGAAGGAAGAAGAGGUGGAAGUGUCAUCAGAGUCUGGAAGUCAGUGCCGUCCAGGAAACGAUGGGACUCUGAAGGCUCAGAGAAUCUACAGCCACAAAAGAGACAAAGCCUCUACUGGAAGCACCUGGGGCAGGGGGAGAUACCUGGCUUCCCCCUUCUUCUUGCUAAUCAGUCUUCUGCCAUGGCCCCCAUUGGCCAAACCGAAAUCCAUCUGACAGUGAAGCCUGACAGUAAGGAUUCUGACAUGGAGCUUAGCACGGGUAGGAGGGGGAAGGAUAUGAGGACAGGCAGGAAGUGGCCAGU